This is a non-coding RNA of Cajanus cajan (pigeon pea), 261 nucleotides long. Lineage: Eukaryota; Viridiplantae; Streptophyta; Magnoliopsida; Fabales; Fabaceae. The record is from RefSeq and is a predicted model, not a curated record.
GAUGGUGAUGAGUUAGUUCGGAGGAACCCAGAUCGUGGUGCUCGCCAUAGACAACGACAAUGUAUCCUAAGUCCCCAUGAGCAGCACAUGAGGAGAAAUGAAUAGUUGAUAUGCCACCGGACCACGCUGGUUACAUGCUCCAGAAAGACGAGAAUACGUUGAAGAAGUAAAUUGUAUAUGUAUUAAUAGUUACUGUAAACGUUGUUGUAAUUAUUUUAUUGUAUAACAGAACAAUUUAAUUAAACUAGAAUUGACAUAUGA